UACAGAGGUCCCAAGCGUUGUUCGGAUUUACUGGGCGUAAAGGGUGCGUAGGUGGUCGGGUAAGUCUCAUGUGAAAUCUCCAAGCUUAACUUGGAAAUGGCAUGGGAUACUAUUCGGCUAGAGGAUUGGAGGGGGGACUGGAAUUCCCGGUGUAGCAGUGAAAUGCGUAGAUAUCGGGAGGAACACCAGUGGCGAAGGCGAGUCCCUGGACAAUUCCUGACGCUGAGGCACGAAAGCUAGGGGAGCAAACAGG
This 253-nucleotide ribosomal RNA is filed under the name uncultured bacterium. RNAcentral describes it as "partial 16S ribosomal RNA". It matches the Rfam family "Bacterial small subunit ribosomal RNA", at positions 524 to 776 of the family's 1533-position model. The record is from RNAcentral.